This 101-nucleotide transfer RNA is filed under the name Malassezia equina. RNAcentral's name for it is "tRNA-Thr". It matches the Rfam family "tRNA". From Rfam's summary of the family: Transfer RNA (tRNA) molecules are approximately 80 nucleotides in length. Their secondary structure includes four short double-helical elements and three loops (D, anti-codon, and T loops). Lineage: Eukaryota; Fungi; Basidiomycota; Malasseziomycetes; Malasseziales; Malasseziaceae. The record is from RNAcentral.
GCCCGCUUAGCUCAGUGGUAGAGCGCGUCACUAGUACCUCCUGCGAGUAGCAGACGGCUUCGGCCAUGACGAGGUCGGUUGUUCGAUCCAGCCAGUGGGCA